RNAcentral lists this ribosomal RNA (301 nucleotides) under uncultured bacterium. Its description in RNAcentral is "partial 16S ribosomal RNA". It matches the Rfam family "Bacterial small subunit ribosomal RNA", at positions 509 to 807 of the family's 1533-position model. The record is from RNAcentral.
CAGUAGCCACGGUAAUACAGAGGGUGCGAGCGUUAAUCGGAUUUACUGGGCGUAAAGCGUGCGUAGGCGGCUUUUUAAGUCGGAUGUGAAAUCCCUGAGCUUAACUUAGGAAUUGCAUUCGAUACUGGGAAGCUAGAGUAUGGGAGAGGAUGGUAGAAUUCCAGGUGUAGCGGUGAAAUGCGUAGAGAUCUGGAGGAAUACCGAUGGCGAAGGCAGCCAUCUGGCCUAAUACUGACGCUGAGGUACAAAAGCAUGGGGAGCAAACAGGAUUAGAUACCCCUGUAGUCCCUGUCUCUUAUAC